ACGCCGCACUCACUGUCUGGCUACUUCCCUUCCCUGUUCACCAAGCCCCUCACGCACGCCAGCAUGCUUUCUGUCUCCAUGGAUUUACCUGUCCUGGACAUUUCUCAUAAAUGGAGCCACGUCAUAACCGACCCUUUGUGACUGGCUCCCUUCACUUAGCGCACAGUUUUCAAGGCUCAUCCGUGUCCUGGCGCGGCAGGGCGUCAUUGCUGUUUAUGACUGAAUGAUACUCAGCAGCACAUCUCUUCCACAUUUUGUAUUUACUCAUCUGUUGAUGGACACUUGAGCUGUUGCCAUCUGUGAGCUAAAGUUGUUUUUUCACAUUCUGGUGCACAAAAGUUUUUUGGUUUGUUAUUGUUUUUCUGGGUUUUUUGAGAUGGGGUCUCACUAUGGUCCUCACUAUGGUCUUGGACUACUGGACUCAAGUGAUCCUCCUUUCUGAGCUUCCCAAAUAGCUGGAACUACAGGAAUGCAUCACUGUGCCCAGCAAAAGUUUUUAAUUUUGGAAAAAGGCUGCUGGCCCCUCCCCUAGAAUCUGAAUUAAGAGACGGAGGCAACUCGGUGUCUGGACCUUGAAGACAACGUGUGAGCCUGUCUUGGCCUGGAUCCUAGACCAGAAGAAGACAUGGCUGGAACUGCACUGAAGGGGACCUGCAGAUGGGACAGUAGAGUCACCGUGUCACUUCCUUGAUUCUCAUCAUUGCACUGUGGUUCUGCAAGGGAGACAUAUGGGGAAUUGUACUAUUUUUGCAACUUUUUUGAAAGCCUGAAAUUGUUUUGAAAAAAACAGAUACAUUUGGGGGAGGAAAAAAAAAAAAACAUGGGGCAGGCGUAGUGGCUCAUGCCUGUAAUCCCAGCAACUCAGAAGGCUGAGGCAGGAGGAUGACAAAUUUGAGGCCAGCCUUGGCUACUUAGUGAGACCCUUUCUCAAAAUAAAAGGGGCUGUGGAUGUAGCUCAGUGGAAGAAUGCCCCUGGGGAGGGCCUGGGGAGGGUGGCUUUUAGGUGGGGUGGAAUUGGGAAAGGAGCACUUAGACAGAUGGUCACUUCCCCAGAGGGCCUGAGGGUGAGCUGGGGAUGCAUGCAGCAGUCCAAAGAAUGCAGGCUUUGGCAAGGACAUGGAGUGAACAAGGACGGGGUGGCUGUGCGGUAGAAGGUUAGUCUCCAGGGGCUGCCUACCAUAAAGCCUAAAGCCUCAGUGAACUCACUAACCUCAUGAAAUAAGUGCCAAUAGAUUUCCUGUGUAGGAAGCGAAGGGUCCAAAGUCAGGCUAACUGGCAGGAGGGCAAACAGUGGACCCACCUGGAUGCAGGAGCAGAUAAGGACCCUAAGGAAGUAAGGCUGGCCCUUUUCAGGGUGGCCCAGGCUGAGCCACAAGACCAGAGCCAAGUUCACCUAAAUUGCCACAGGCCAGAGGCCCCAAGAGUGAGUUGCCCUCUCAGGGGUGACCCCUGUCUACUCCCUUGCCCCCAGCCUGAUGACCAACAGGGUCUCUGAUGCUGGCCCCUCCAAGCCCAGCAGUGCCAUGGUCACACUGCCACUCCUGUGCUUGGGCUUUUACCAACCUCAGGGCUGCUAACCAGAGCUGGGAGGGCCACUGGCUGGGCAGUAAGCAGCAUGCUCCAUGAGUAGACUGGGCACAUUAGUAACUAAGAAGAGCAGAAAGUUCCUGCCGCAGCAGAAGUACCUUUAAGCAAGAGAAGUUGCGAGGAGGCCCGAGGAUCCUUCUCAGGAAAAUGGUGCAGUCAGAGAGGACAGCCAUGAGCACGCUCCAGAGGGCCUGACUGGCCAGGGGCCAUCCGUGUGGGAUGGCAGGAAGGCCUCUGCCCAGUUCCCAUGGUCACUCCCAGCCCAGGACUCAGUGCAGCAGGGACACCAGGCAGACCAGGCGGCCAGCGGGAACAGAGUCCCUUGCUGCUUGACCAAACCUGCCUGUGACUACCCAUCUGUCUAGAGAUUCCACAGGACCUUCUCUCCUCGUCUUCACCCAGGUCAAACUUGUUUUGCUGACUGGCUUCUAGCCUCCCCAGCCCUCCCCAUUUUCUCUCACACAGGCAUGACCAUGACGCACAUUAUCAGCACAUCUCAAACACGCAGAGGAAAUUCCUUACUUUAAUUCCAUCCGGGUCUCUGCUAUUUAGAGUGAUCUCCCCUGGAGUGACUCGCCCAGUUCUGCUCUACUCUAAGGUUCCUCUAAGAUAACCAAUCCCCUGCCCCACGGUCUCCCAGAAGGAGGGGACAGGAUAUGCAGCAAGGCCUUUUAAUUUUCCAUAAUUUUAAUAUGUUUCUUUUUAUUAAAAUUAAAUCUUUU
Marmota monax (woodchuck) is the source of this 2309-nucleotide long non-coding RNA. RefSeq lists it as uncharacterized. NCBI's taxonomy places the organism in Eukaryota, Metazoa, Chordata, Mammalia, Rodentia, Sciuridae. The transcript has 3 exons. The record is from RefSeq and is a predicted model, not a curated record.